GUUUAGAUAGUUUAAUAAAAAAUUUAGGUUUGUGGAUUCUAAGAUGAAAGAUUUUCUCUAGGCU
RNAcentral lists this transfer RNA (64 nucleotides) under Yanocephalus yanonis. RNAcentral's name for it is "tRNA-His". The record is from RNAcentral. Lineage: Eukaryota; Metazoa; Arthropoda; Insecta; Hemiptera; Cicadellidae.